Molecule: ribosomal RNA, 468 nt
Filed under: uncultured bacterium
Lineage: Bacteria
Description: partial 16S ribosomal RNA
Rfam family: Bacterial small subunit ribosomal RNA
Source: RNAcentral
GACGAACGCUGGCGGCGUGCUUAACACAUGCAAGUCGAACGGAAAGGCCCUGCUUUUGUGGGGUGCUCGAGUGGCGAACGGGUGAGUAACACGUGAGUAACCUGCCCUUGACUUUGGGAUAACUUCAGGAAACUGGGGCUAAUACCGGAUAGGAGCUCCUGCUGCAUGGUGGGGGUUGGAAAGUUUCGGCGGUUGGGGAUGGACUCGCGGCUUAUCAGCUUGUUGGUGGGGUAGUGGCUUACCAAGGCUUUGACGGGUAGCCGGCCUGAGAGGGUGAUCGGCCACAUUGGGACUGAGAUACGGCCCAGACUCCUACGGGAGGCAGCAGUGGGGAAUAUUGCACAAUGGGCGGAAGCCUGAUGCAGCAACGCCGCGUGCGGGAUGACGGCCUUCGGGUUGUAAACCGCUUUCGCCUGUGGCGAAGCGUGAGUGACGGUAAUGGGUAAAGAAGCACCGGCUAACUACGUG